This is a non-coding RNA of Hordeum vulgare subsp. vulgare (domesticated barley), 131 nucleotides long. The record is from Rfam. NCBI's taxonomy places the organism in Eukaryota, Viridiplantae, Streptophyta, Magnoliopsida, Poales, Poaceae.
UGGCAGUGAAGAGAAAAUGAAAGGCCAGUCUUACAGCUGCUUCCCAGACACGAAUAGAUCCUCUCGUUAUUGUCCUGGGGUGGUAGUAGCAUGAUGUGAUAUGAUUCGGCGAAAGGUUUUCUCUGAGCCAU